UCAUAAUGCAUUCUGGGUAAAUUUGUUUGAGCGGGAAAAUUUUACAGUAUAUUUUGGUCUUGAUGUAACCUUGCUGUAGCCAUUGCUGUAAUGUGCCAGGUGUACUUGCAAUAAUCAGAGAAAGUGCGCCAGAGUCAAAUCACACAGAGGGAGAGAGAGCACAACUCCUGGCUGCAGCUGAAGGAGGACGAUUGAUUUCUGGCAGUUCGUCUUACCAUUGCUUGUAAGCUGGAUUGGGUAAGAUGGAUCAUCUUUAAAGGCACCAGGAGUUAAGGCAGAUGUGGAGGCACAACGUGUGAUACCAGACACACACCAAGCACAUUAUGUUCGGACAUUCAAUCAUGACAUGAUCCAUGUGGAUGCUGUCCAUUGAGGAAAGAGUUUGUUCCAAGGUUUCUGGAUAGAAUUAAUUCCAAAGAUGGGAAAAAGUGCACAUCCAGACAAGGAGCAAGCAAAAAGACAAGGAACUUGGUGCAGAGAAAAGCUGUGGCCAUUAACCCCCAUGUGAACAGCUUCAUGCAGUCCCUGAUUGAGUUCGAAUGGACGACUUCAAAGUAAAGGCCACUGUGGUCUGUCUGCCACAGUUUAAUGCAUUUAUUUUUAGUGUUAAAUGAAAUUCAAGUAGAAUAUUUAAAACUAUGGGCCAGUGUUCUUUUUACCACAGUGAAAUGUUACCUUUUAGUCGAUGAUGGACUUUAAACUGAAAACUUCAAACUAUGGAACAGUGUUCUAUUUGCCAGAGUUAAAUAUGUUACAG
Non-coding RNA from Paramisgurnus dabryanus, 757 nucleotides. NCBI's taxonomy places the organism in Eukaryota, Metazoa, Chordata, Actinopteri, Cypriniformes, Cobitidae. The record is from RefSeq and is a predicted model, not a curated record.